This 28-nucleotide non-coding RNA is filed under the name Cricetulus griseus (Chinese hamster). Lineage: Eukaryota; Metazoa; Chordata; Mammalia; Rodentia; Cricetidae. The record is from RNAcentral.
AGUUCGCAUCUGGUUUCUGUUUGAAUUG